RNAcentral lists this ribosomal RNA (863 nucleotides) under Calocera cornea. Its description in RNAcentral is "partial 25S ribosomal RNA". It matches the Rfam family "Eukaryotic large subunit ribosomal RNA", at positions 62 to 962 of the family's 3401-position model. Lineage: Eukaryota; Fungi; Basidiomycota; Dacrymycetes; Dacrymycetales; Dacrymycetaceae. The record is from RNAcentral.
NAACUAACAGGAUUCCCCUAGUAACUGCGAGUGAAGCGGGAAAAGCUCAAAUUUAAAAUCCGUCCCCCGASGGAGUUGUAAUCUAGAGAAGUGUUUUCGGCCGUUGGUCGGACAAGUCCCCUGGAACAGGNGUCAUAGAGGGUGAUAAUCCCGUACUUGACCAAGAUCCCCAAGUUUAAUGUGAUACACUCUCGAAGAGUCGAGUUGUUUGGGAAUGCAGCUCAAAACGGGUGGUAAAUUCCAUCUAAAGCUAAAUAUUGGCGAGAGACCGAUAGCGAACAAGUACCGUGAGGGAAAGAUGAAAAGCACUUUGGAAAGAGAGUUAAACAGAACGUGAAAUUGCUAAAAGGGAAGCGCUUGAAGUCAGUCGCGUUUAAUGAGACUCAGCCUCACGGUGUAUUUCUCUUGAACGGGCCAACAUGGAUUUUGGGCGCGGGAAAAGGRUUUGGGGAAGGUGGCAACCUCGGUUGUGUUAUAGCCUCUUACCGUACACCGCGCCUGGGAUCGAGGACCGCGGCUUUGCCUAGGAUGUUGGCGUAAUGGCUUUAAGCGACCCGUCUUGAAACACGGACCAAGGAGUCUAACAUGUCUGCGAGUGUUUGGGUGUCAAACCCAUGCGCGUAAUGAAAGUAAAUGUAGGUGGGAGGCUUCGGCCGCACCAUCGACCGAUCCGGAUUUCUUGUGAUGGAUUUGAGUAAGAGCAUAUAUGUUGGGACCCGAAAGAUGGUGAACUAUGCCUGAAUAGGGCGAAGCCAGAGGAAACUUUGGUGGAGGCUCGUAGCGAUUCUGACGUGCAAAUCGAUUGUCAAAUUUGGGUAUAGGGGCGAAAGACUAAUCGAACCANNNNNNNNNNNNNNNNNNNN